GAUGCCAGGGUCAAAAGCCUGAAACCACGAUGUGCUUGCACAAGAGUGGUUUUAUGGCUUAAUGACCCGCCCCGAUAUGAGCAUAAAAGUGGAGCGUAAGCUUCACGAUAUGCGAAUAUUGGGUAGAAUUGUGGAAGUACGAAGUACGGAACAAUUCGUAUG
This 162-nucleotide small RNA is filed under the name human gut metagenome. Its description in RNAcentral is "Clostridiales-1 RNA". It matches the Rfam family "Clostridiales-1 RNA". The record is from RNAcentral.